CUAAACUCGUCUCUCUCAUCUCUCAUUCUUAGAGACCAUAACCCUUAACCUUAAUCUGUCGCCCCAUUUUCUACCAUAUCCGCCGGACAGCGCCACCUCCAAAUCACCCUAAAUUAACACCCUACAACCCACAUGAUACCCUCAUACAGAAUCCACAACCAUUUUCCUUUGAAUCAUACUAGAACCUCUCAAAUAUUAGAUCAAAGAUCUGAACCCUAAAAUACCAAAACCCCUAAUUCGAGAUUUCUUGAAAAUUUGAGGUCUAAUUUGACUUUAUUCAUAUGUUCUUGAUAAGAACACAUGAUUAAUACUAAAAUUGACAGGAAAUUUGAAGAUUUGCAGUUUCUUUUCAAUUAUUUACUGGACCGAGAUUUUUGUUUAUGUAUUUUUCCUUUAUCUUUGAUAGUUAAUUUCUAUUUUUGUUCUCUUCUCAUUUCGUCUAGUUUUUUUUUCUUUUUCUGACUUUUGUUUCCCGUGUUUGCAAGUUCAGUCUUUGAAUUUGUAAUUAAUAUUUUCUGUUUUUGAAUUUUAAUGUGCUUCAGAGUUUCUGUUUCUACUUUGGGCCCAAAAUUGCACGAGUCUUUGGGACUCUAUAAAUGAACUUGUAAAGUUUCUAAGCUUUCAAUUGUGGAAAUUAGGUUACAUUGAAAUCAGAAGUCCAAAAGGGGCUUGGACUUUGGUUUUGCAAAUUUAACAAUUGGGUCAAUUUGGUUCGUGACCCGUUUCGCUUCAAGGGUAAAAACAUGGCUCUUGGGUGUAAUCUAGGAAAUCAAGGUGAGGGAAUAAUCUGUAACUAACUUAGGAAGUUUCCUAGAAGCUGGGGUAGGGAUUAAUCUGAAAAUCUGAAUUUUACACUAAGGGUGUCUAAGCAAAAAUGAAAAUUGAAAAAAGGUUUAAGUGCAGAACUAGUUGAAUUUCUGCAGCCCUAAAAGCUUGCCUGUAAAGGCACACUUUCUUCUUAAACAAUGCACAUUUUAAGAGAUAAAAAUCCUGCAAAACUGAACGGCUGAAUUUCUGAGAUAAACUAUGAAUUAACACUGAGAUUCAUCAUAUUUCUCUGAUGAAAUAGCUCAAAUUCUACUUAGUUUAGGUUUUUCGACUCUGCUUAUUAGCUAGAACUUCAAAAAGCAUUUCAAAUCCCUACACCUAGUUGAAAAAUUGUUUGAUUCUUGAAUUUAAAGGGUUGGUUUGAAGCUGUUUGGUUUUUGGGUUUUAUUGUUGCAUUGUUAGCUCUUUAAAGCUGGUUUCUGCUGCUCUUCUUCUGCUGAACCUUCACUUCUUUGUUUCUCUUUAUUUCCAGGUAUAUGAUCUCUGAAUUCUACUACAUAUGAGACUUGAAUUGAAGAGUGAAAUAAAAAAAUGAAAGUUUGAAGCCUAGCAUUAAGUCAUUUGUCCAUAGUUUAGUUAAUUUCUUUUUCUUUUCUUUGAAUCCCUUAUUUUCUUGAAAUUAUUUCAUCCAUGUUUGCUACUCUUUCAACAUUUAAUGAUGGAUAUUGUAUUACAUUUUGUACUUAAGCUAUUUCUUUUAUUAAUCAUGUAUUGUGAAAGUUGAAGCUAUGCCUUUGAAAGUUUAGUAUCAUGUUGGAUUUGGGGUGGUAGAGAGAUCUAUGUAGUAGUUACAUGUUCGCUUCAGUUUUCUUUUUUGUACUCGUUUGGUAGAAGAACGAAUCCAUGUGACUUUAAAUCUUAGUGUAAUUUUGGGGUUCAAGUAAUUUGUAUACUAGUUCCUUAAAUUUGUUACUGCUUGGUAUUGAAAAAAGUUAAUUGAUUGGAAGUUUUCAGGUC
Molecule: long non-coding RNA, 1785 nt
Filed under: Nicotiana benthamiana
Lineage: Eukaryota; Viridiplantae; Streptophyta; Magnoliopsida; Solanales; Solanaceae
Description: long non-coding RNA (NBEN_LNC030131)
Source: RNAcentral